This is an RNA transcript of Triplophysa rosa, 7376 nucleotides long. It is a transcript of the gene named zinc finger BED domain-containing protein 4-like, with no coding region annotated. Lineage: Eukaryota; Metazoa; Chordata; Actinopteri; Cypriniformes; Nemacheilidae. The record is from RefSeq and is a predicted model, not a curated record. The transcript is spliced from 3 exons.
CUCCGCCCCCGGAUAUCCGGAUAUAAAAGGGAGAUGGCGUGCCUCAUUCAUUCAUCUUAGUUCUGAGGAGCCUGAGACCUCUCACGACUGCUGCAGUGGACAGCACGUGUUGUGGCAAGAGGACACAAUGUCUCGUUCCCUCCAUCAGGGAACCGAGGUUACAAACGUAACCGAGACGUUCCCUUUCUGUCGGUCUCUCGACGUUGUGUCGAACCGACAGAUGGGGUUCCAAUGGAAAACGCCAUAACACUGUGCCCUGUCACAAUCUCAACGGAGCGAUGGUGACUGGCCUGGGCGUGUCAGCCGUGACGCUACCUCGAAAUUGUGACCUACCAGUGGGUAGGUAGGGGGUCCCAGAGCUUUCUUGAAAGGUGGGAAGGCCCCUACCUUCGGCCUCACAGGCGGCGGUCUUGUUUCUCUAACAGCGAGAAGCCGCCCGGAACCGUAAGGCCACUGGGUAAGCACUACUUCCUCAAGCGGGGGAUGCGCUACAGAGACCACUUCCUACCACAGGGAGGAGACUAGUGGAGAUACCAACAUGGUCUCACCGAUGGGGGAGAACUCUCACCGAAGGGGAAGAAAGUGCGGACUGAAGGAGUUAACCGCGAGGUGGAGGUCCACCUAAGGAGGUCAUGGGUUACCAGGGUGGGAACCAGCAUGAGAAUACAUCAGACGGAACCGCCCUGCUGGGGGGUUGCAGGAUACAUCAGACGGAACCGCCCUGCUGGGGGGUUGCAACGUCUGGUAGCACUAGGUCCGGUUAGAGCUAUGUUGCGAAUAACUCAGGUGAUACCCGGCCUAAGGGGCAGGGCUGCUCUGCCCAGCCCGCCCACAGGAGGUGCUUGCUAGUGAUGGAUGGAGUGCCUGUUCUUCACCCAGUGGGGGAAGAAGGGAGGCUAGUAGUACGCUGACCCCCUAGGGUCAGGUACUGUCAUAGGCGUACACCCUACCGGUCGCCGGUCUUGCCUGAUGCCCGCAAGACUCGCCGACCGGUUUUACGCGAAGGCUGUAGGACCCCGCGAAGGUGAUGGGUAGCCCAACCCGCAGCUCUGCAGAUGUCCGCCAGAGAGGCGCCUCGAGCCAGUGCCCACGAGGAGGCUGUACUCCGUGUGGAGAGAGCUCUCACCCAGUGGGCGUAGGCGAACUAGGACAGGUACGCCAUAGUGACGGCGUCCAUGAUCCAUUGUGUCAAUCUCUGUUUGAGACAGCCCUCCCUGCUGAUCUCCAAAACAGACAAAGAGCUGCUCAGAGCUACUGCGGCUCUGCGUGUGGUCCAAGCAGAGGCGCAAUGCGCGUACUGGACACAACACGGAAGGGGUUGGGUCUUCCUCCCCGGUGGGGAGCACCUGUAAGUUCACCACCUGGUGUCUCGGGGGAGUGGUGGGAACUUCGGGCUCUGCACGAGAGGUUGUAACCCCUUCAGUGCGGGUAGCACAUCCAACAACUCUAGGCAUUUGAUAUGCCUGCGCAGGCGGGGGCCCGUCCAUCGCCCCGACACUGCGUGCCCAUUGCACACGGCACCCCAACCCUGCAGGGAGGCGUCUGUCGACCCUGACGCGUCUCGCCAUAACAGAUUGUCGACCCAUAACAGAUCUCACAAGUGUGUCAAAUGAGCCAGUCGUCAUGAUAGUUUAGUAGCCGCACACCACUCUCCCUGAGGGGAGUGAGGGCGGCUUCCACGAUCUUCGUGAAGACUCGUGGGGACAGGGACAUACUGAAGGGGAGGACUCUGUACUAAUAUGCCUGACCCUCGAAAGCGAACCGUAGGAACGGGCGAUGACGAGGGAGAAUUGAGACAUGAGAGUAAGCGUCCUUCAGGUCGAUUGCCAUGAAUCCAUCUUGACAUCUGAUAGAUGCCAGGAUGCGCUUCUGCGUGAGCAUCCUGAACGGCAGCUUGAGUAGGUGCCUGUUCAGGGUACACAGAUCUAGCGACCCCCGCUCUUUUGGGGACGAUGAAGUACGGGCUGUAAAACCCGUUGAACAUCUCGGCUAGAGGGACGAGCACGAUCGCUUCCUCACCAGAGGGGUGGCGACCUCGGCCCUAAGCACUGGGCAUCCUUGCCUCUGCUGAGGUUAAGAGGAUGCCCCGAAACUUGGGCGGGCGUCUAGGGAGUUGGAUCGCGUAGCCGAGACAGACCGUAUCCCGUAGUCACCGUGACGGUUUGGGAAGCUCUUGUCAAGCUCCCAGGGACCGAGACAGGGAGGCUAGGGGUAUGUUCUGCUUCAUCGACCUCCUAGGGGUGGUUCGAUGGCUGGCAGUGCGGAUCCCUCGCCGUGGGGGGGAUCCCCGGAGAGGAGAUCGGCUCUGCAGUUUUACCUGCCUGGCGAUGAUGUAGCACAACGCACCAUCGAAUGAGAGUGCUUAGGCUGAUGAUUAUCCUCGACAUUGAGUCUUGCCGCAACGUCGAGUUGCCGAACACCGUCAUGUAGAGGGUGAGAGCGGCUGUGAUAAUACCCAGACGAUGAUGUGGCACAAAGCACCGUCGAUUGAGAGUGCUUAGGCUGCUGAUUAUCCUCGACAUUGGGUCUCGCCGUGACGCAACUUCGAGUUGCCUAACACCGUUGUGUAGAGGGUGAGAGCGGCUGUGAUAAACGCCCAGAGAGGGAGAAAACUUUUAGAAAGGUAUUCUCGAACUCCCUGGGGUCUUCCCAUGAGGGCCACCAUUGGCUUUCACCGCGGCUGCUGAUGGGGUGGUGGUCUCCUCUUCGAUGUCUCGAAGAGGACCAGGGCUGCUGGGAAGCAGACGGUGCACGGGAUCUUGGCGGCCAGAAGGCGGUCGAGUCACGGCUGGGGAGGACAUACGUGAUAUCCUCUGUCUGCUCCCUAACUGUCGAACUCGACAGUAUCACCAAACAGCCCCCCCUUGCGAGAUGGGUGCAUCGAGAAAGCGGACUUUCUCAGAGUUACUCACCUGUGCAAGGUUCAGCCAGAAGUGUCUCUCCUGGACCACAAGUGUGGACAUCGCCCGACCACCUUGUUCGCCCGAGAGCGAGGUCGGUAAAGCCGCAGAAUUCCUGCAUAAGCGCUGGGUCGGUCUUACCCUCGUGGAGCUCUCUCUGUGCAUUGGCCUGCAGGAAGGCCAUAGCAUGGAGAGAGGGGACAGCUCGGUCCGCAGCAGAGUAAGCUCUCGACACCUCUGAUGCCGAAAAGCCUACGUGCUUUGGACGGGAGUUUAGGUCGAGCCCCGGGGGGACAUCGACGUAUCCUCUAGCUGCCCCACCAUCGAGGGAAGAAAGGGUGAUGGAACUAGUUGACGUGUACACGCCGAAGGGGGCGUUCCAGGUCGUACUAGGUUCCUCAUGCACUUCCGGGGGAACACGGCACUGAGGGCGAGUGCGGCUUGGAGCCGCUCUCAAGCCCGAUGUACCGUGUAUCCAGCCGCGAGCGUUGGGAGAGGCAGUGCGGUGCACCGCAACCCAAUGCCGGCGGCCCGGGAAAGCAUGGCUGACAUUUCGACAUCCGCUUCUUCCUGAUCUCGACCCCCCGAGGGAGGGAGCUUCAAGGAAUCGUCGGAGUCUGAUGCCAGUAAGUCACCCUCCGAUGCUGCAACAGACAUCUCAUCAUCACGUACCGUGUCCGAUACGUGAUUGAGGAAUAAGACGGUGGACCGUCUUAUGGGGAACGGUCAGACGAGCAAGGCGAGGUGCGAACGGUCCGCGAGCCAGUGGCUGACGGAUUAGCGCUCACAGUAAUCCUCAUAUCACCCUCGCUGCUCGCCGUAGCGGGCGGCAGGGCCGUAGUCCUGCCGUCACGGAACGGGAAGCAGACAAGGUGGUGGCUGAGUCCCGUGGGAACACAGCCACCCGUGACGCAACGUCUGAAUCGUCAGCCGCCCGCAGUGCGGGCAGGACGUAUCCACAACAUCUGCCCCAGCGUACUGGAAGCAGACAUCGUGUCCGUCCCCCUCCUCGAUGAGUGUGUUGCACCCAAGAGAACAGCGGGACAUGCCACGCUGGAGAAAUUUGCUCUUUUAGAGAAAAAAACUCGAACACUUCUGGAACCGCCGAGACGCCCAGGGGAAGUCGCUGCAGGAAGGGACAGUCCGCUGCACCACGUCGUAGAGCCGGCAGUCUUGUAGCGAAGUCUGUUGAUCAUGAGCGAAGGCUCCAAAGAACAAAAGGUGAAUGAAUGAGGCACGCCGUCUCCCUUUUAUACGGGGAUAUCCGGGGGCGGAGUCCGGCAUGCAAAUUUCAUUCGCCAAUUUUCAUUGGCCUUUUCUAAGAAGUCGGAAGCGAUUGGCUCUCAGGGACGAACCCCAUCUGUCAGUUCGACACAACGUCGAGAGACCGACAGAAAGGGAACUAUAAGUGAUGUAAUACAAAAAAUGAUGAGCUGACUAGGCUGUCUAAUAGGCGGAAAUUAGCCGAAUCUGCUCGCAAACUUACCUUCGUGGCUCACGGACUUCCUUCUACACCGAAGCAUUACCGCUAUCGAUUUUUAACAAAACAGACCUACUCAAAUGUAUCUAACCUAACUAUUUUCACUCGUUAUUGUCUAAAAAACUUUCAAUCAGGAGACGUAAUGCCGAGAAGCUCCCGCGGAGUGAAGAAGAGGUGGAGUUACGAGACUUCUCAGACAGUUGAAGUGUCCAAUGGAGUUAAGAGAUUUGCGCUCAAGCUAUUUUCAACACUUUAGAUUGGUUAAUAAUUUGUAAAAAUAACAGACCCACAUGGGGACUGACCAAUAGCAUCGAUUUGUGAAAAAAUAUGAAAUUGACCAAAUUUGGACAUAGGAGGCGGCGACAGCGACGAUAUUUUUGUUUUCUUUUUAUAAGGUGCACCAACCUUACAGAUUGCUCUUGACAAAGCAAAGAUGCAAAUUGAGAUUCAGAAGCAGAAGAUUCUUCAUCUUGAGGAAAAAGCUGACUCUCUGACAGAUGACAGAAAUUUUCAAGACUGGAGGAUGAUUCAUCAGAUUCUGAACCUAGAGCAAAAAAGAAGAAACGGGGAAAAAAAAGCAUAAAAACAAGAAGAAAUCCAAGAAAAUGAAGGUUGAUUUCCGGAGAGUAAGAACCCCCGAAGACUCCAUCAAGCGGUACCACAGUGUUUUACAGCUCGUAAAAGGAGGCUUACAACAAAAUGAAAGUGGACCGAAAUACAAUUGUCAUCCAAGCUCCAAUUGCAGAAUUGGCAACUGCUAAUCCUGAGGAGUACAAAGGUUUGAGAGCAACCUUUAAAAAUGGAGAAAGCAUUCAAAAGUUUUCGGAUCUUUGUCUUGCAAGGUGCCUGGUUCAGCCAAAUGUGGGUGUUAUUAAGAGUUUAAAAGAAAGCAGUGCCCUACUGGAUAUAUCAAAGAAGUGAGAUAUUCUAGUUACAAGUCUGAAAUGUUUGUAAAAGGAAUAGUUCACCCAAAAUGGUCCCCAUUUGAACUUGAACAUAGUAAUUAUUAUUCCUACCAUGGAAAGUCAAAGGGGACCAUUCAUGGGUGAAAUAUUCCUUUAAAGAAGUUUAUAAGGUUAAUAAAUGUUUAAGUGUUUGUUAACAUCACUACAGUGUUCAUCGAACACAUUUUUACAUCUUGAUUUUAUUUUCACAUUGUACGGUAUUAUAUUUGAAUCUGUUGCGUUUUAUGUUAAGUAAAAUACAGAUUUACUUUAGCAAUUGAUUUAAGGUGUUCUGAUGUUUAAGAGAGCAGUGCCCUUCUUGAUAUAUCAAAGAAGUGAGAAAUUAUUGUCACAAGUCUGAAAAUGUUUGUUGAACAAGCUUAUAAGGUUAAAUAAAUGUUUAAGUGUUUGUAAGCAUCACUCCAGUGUUCUUCAGCACAGUUUUAAAUAGUGGUUUUAUUUCCGCAUUGUUCGGUAAUGUAUUAAAAUCUAUUUUGUUUUAUGUUAAGUAAAUUACAGAUUCAGCAUCUUGAUUUAAGGUGUUCUGAUGCCUUACUUUAAAUACAAUGUGAUUUUACCUUCUAAAUUCUGUGCUGAUAAAUCUUAAUAAUUAAGUAAUAAUUAUCAAAAGUAUUCUGCUGUUCCAAAAUAAACACUGUGUUGGAUGUAAAUUGGAGUAUAGAUUUAAAGAUUUAAGUGCAUUUUCCUGUCAAGACAUAAUGACACAAAUACUAACUCACCAGUAAGUACUCAUAGAUUAAUAUGAAUUUAUGUCAUGACUUUACUUGGGGGGCACAUUAUUACUAACUCAUCAGUAACUACUCAUAUAUUGAAUAAUAUGAAUUUAUGUCAUGACUAGGUGACAUCAUUAAAACGUGCAGUUACACAUGUUACGUAAAUAUUCAGGUCAUCUUAAUCAUAUUAUUUGAUGCUUUUUGGUGGUAAGUGAACGAGUGGAAGAGAAGAGGUGCAGACUGCAGAGGUAAAUAAGCAGACAUUUUGAGGGGACAGUAAUGGCCGAAAAGAAGAGCAAAAACACAUGACGGAAACGUCUGUCUGUGCAGUCUGAUAAAAAGACUGUAGACCAGUCCACAAAACAACCACACCAAUAAGCAUCAUCUGUAGCCUUAAACUGGUUUUAAUUUGGAAAGUUUUGUCUGUUAAAUGCAGUGGUUUUUAGUCCUGGUCAUUGGGACCCUCUGUUCUGCACAUGUUGUAUGUCUCCUUUGUUUACCACACCUGAUUCAGAUUAUCAGUUCAUUAAAUAAGAGCUCCAGAACAGAGAGAAGUAUGUCAGAUAAGUGAGACAGAAAAUGAGUGAGUGCAGAGUGGUGGGUCUCAAAUGAUUAGGAUUGAAAACCACUGGUUUAAUGAACACCUUAUUGUAGAUAAUUCACUUUUAACAAUAGCAGUAGAAUCACUCAAAAGAGAACAAGAUAAAAGUAUAGCUUCUAAUUACCAAUGCAUCACUAUAGAUUAAAAAACAAUGGCAAGAAAUCCACUGCCAUUGGAUGAUGUUUGUGCCAAAGCUGCAGGUUGUAAAUGUAUAAACCAUUUUACAGUACAUCACAAACAAACAAAACACUGUGCCCUUUUAAUUCAUUUUAUCUUCAGAGCAUGUCUGAUUUCAUCCCAAAAUGCUAAUUACAUUAAUUAACAAACAUGUACUAACGUGUAAUUACGGCAGCUGUUAUUCAUGCAGGAAUUCAUAUGACUCAUGACAUAGUCAUGCUUGGUUCUUGAUUAGUACAUGGCUUAACUUUAAAGUGAUUAUUAAUUUAGGUAUUAGUACAUGAUUACUCAUGUACUGUUAUUGUAAAGUGUUAACCUUGUAAUUCGUAAAUUGAAUUUAAAGGAACUAUUUUGUAAUGAUGACAAUUAACUGACAUUGUAAACAGUGUGAAUUCAUUCAUGUUUAUUUGGGAACAUUCUGUAACAAGACAUUUGUAAUCUUUGUAUGUUUCAGUUUUACAAAAAAGAGAAAGGAGAGGAAAGAACAUAAGUAAACACAGUAAAAGCUCUCAACAUUACUUCUUCGUCUGACAUUUUCUU